RNAcentral lists this ribosomal RNA (507 nucleotides) under uncultured bacterium. Its description in RNAcentral is "bacterial SSU rRNA". It matches the Rfam family "Bacterial small subunit ribosomal RNA", at positions 28 to 526 of the family's 1533-position model. The record is from RNAcentral.
GACGAACGCUGGCGGCGUGGAUUAGGCAUGCAAGUCGAACGGUAUCAUCCUUUCGGGGGUGAGAGAGUGGCGAACUGGUGAGUAACACGUAGGUUAUCUACCCUCAAGACGGGGACAACCCAGGGAAACUUGGGCUAAUACCGGAUGUGAGCAACUUUUAGUUGUUUGAAAGGUGGCGUAAGCUGUCGCUUGGGGAUGAGCCUGCGUCCUAUUAGUUAGUUGGUGAGGUAACGGCUCACCUAGGCAAUGAUAGGUAGGCGGCCUUAACGGGUGGUCGCCCACACUGGGAUUGAGAUACGGCCCAGACUCCUACGGGAGGCAGCAGUCGAGAAUAGUCUACAAUGGUCGGAAGACUGAUAGUGCGACGCCGCGUGAACGAUGAAUCCCUUCGGGGUGUAAAGUUCUUUUAUAUGUGAGCAGUGCUUCUUAUAUUAACAGUAUGGGGAGAGAGAUAUUAGCAUAUGAAUAAAGCAACGGCUAACUCCGUGCCAGCAGCCGCGGUAAACU